GACGAACGCUGGCGGCGUGCUUAACACAUGCAAGUCGAACGGAAAGGCCCUGCUUUUGUGGGGUGCUCGAGUGGCGAACGGGUGAGUAACACGUGAGUAACCUGCCCUUGACUUUGGGAUAACUUCAGGAAACUGGGGCUAAUACCGGAUAGGAGCUCCUGCUGCAUGGUGGGGGUUGGAAAGUUUCGGCGGUUGGGGAUGGACUCGCGGCUUAUCAGCUUGUUGGUGGGGUAGUGGCUUACCAAGGCCUUGACGGGUAGCCGGCCUGAGAGGGUGACCGGCCACAUUGGGACUGAGAUACGGCCCAGACUCCUACGGGAGGCAGCAGUGGGGAAUAUUGCACAAUGGGCGGAAGCCUGGUGCAGCAACGCCGCGUGCGGGAUGACGGCCUUCGGGUUGUAAACCGCUUUCGCCUGUGACGAAGCGUGAGUGACGGUAAUGGGUAAAGAAGCACCGGCUAACUACGUG
RNAcentral lists this ribosomal RNA (468 nucleotides) under uncultured bacterium. RNAcentral describes it as "partial 16S ribosomal RNA". It matches the Rfam family "Bacterial small subunit ribosomal RNA", at positions 28 to 507 of the family's 1533-position model. The record is from RNAcentral.